This 484-nucleotide ribosomal RNA is filed under the name uncultured bacterium. RNAcentral's name for it is "partial 16S ribosomal RNA". It matches the Rfam family "Bacterial small subunit ribosomal RNA", at positions 30 to 507 of the family's 1533-position model. The record is from RNAcentral.
AUUGAACGCUGGCGGCAGGCCUAACACAUGCAAGUCGAGCGGAUGAAGGGAGCUUGCUCCUGGAUUCAGCGGCGGACGGGUGAGUAAUGCCUAGGAAUCUGCCUGGUAGUAGGGGAUAACGUCCGGAAACGGGCGCUAAUACCGCAUACGUCCUGAGGGAGAAAGUGGGGAAUCUUCGGACCUCACGCUAUCAGAUGAGCCUAGGUCGGAUUAGCUAGUUGGUGGGGUAAAGGCCUACCAAGGCGACGAUCCGUAACUGGUCUGAGAGGAUGAUCAGUCACACUGGAACUGAGACACGGUCCAGACUCCUACGGGAGGCAGCAGUGGGGAAUAUUGGACAAUGGGCGAAAGCCUGAUCCAGCCAUGCCGCGUGUGUGAAGAAGGUCUUCGGAUUGUAAAGCACUUUAAGUUGGGAGGAAGGGCAGUAAGUUAAUACCUUGCUGUUUUGACGUUACCAACAGAAUAAGCACCGGCUAACUUCGUG